RNAcentral lists this unclassified non-coding RNA (241 nucleotides) under Lecanora expallens. Its description in RNAcentral is "partial contains 5.8S ribosomal RNA, internal transcribed spacer 2, and large subunit ribosomal RNA". Lineage: Eukaryota; Fungi; Ascomycota; Lecanoromycetes; Lecanorales; Lecanoraceae. The record is from RNAcentral.
CGCACAUUGCGCCCCUCGGAAUUCCGGGGGGCAUGCCUGUUCGAGCGUCAUUACUCCUCUCAAGCGUCAGCUUGGCCUUGGGUCCCGUCCGGGCAGGGCGGUCCCGAAAACGAGCGGCGGUCCGGGUAGGACUUCGGGUGCAGUCAAAUUUUUCCACCACGAACGUCCCCCAGGAGCGGCCGAUAACUCCACAUUUUCUACAAUUGACCUCGGAUCAGGUAGGGAUACCCGCUGAACUUAA